RNAcentral lists this ribosomal RNA (506 nucleotides) under uncultured bacterium. RNAcentral's name for it is "partial 16S ribosomal RNA". It matches the Rfam family "Bacterial small subunit ribosomal RNA", at positions 30 to 523 of the family's 1533-position model. The record is from RNAcentral.
AUUGAACGCUGGCGGCAGGCCUAACACAUGCAAGUCGAACGGUAACAGGAAACAGCUUGCUGUUUCGCUGACGAGUGGCGGACGGGUGAGUAAUGUCUGGGAAACUGCCUGAUGGAGGGGGAUAACUACUGGAAACGGUAGCUAAUACCGCAUAACGUCGCAAGACCAAAGAGGGGGACCUUCGGGCCUCUUGCCAUCGGAUGUGCCCAGAUGGGAUUAGCUAGUAGGUGGGGUAACGGCUCACCUAGGCGACGAUCCCUAGCUGGUCUGAGAGGGUUACCAGCCAAACUGGAACUGAGACACGGUCCAGACGCCUACGGGAGGCAGGAGUGGGGAAUAUUGCACAAUGGGCGCAAGCCUGAUGCAGCCAUGCCGCGUGUAUGAAGAAGGCCUUCGGGUUGUAAAGUACUUUCAGCGGGGAGGGAGGGAGUAAAGUCAAUACCUUUGCUCAUUGACGUUACCCGCAGAAGAAGCACCGGCUAACUCCGUGCCAGCCGCCGCCGUAA